UAGGGAAUAUUGGGCAAUGGAGGGAACUCUGACCCAGCCAUGCCGCGUGCAGGAUGAAGGCGUUAUGCGUUGUAAACUGCUUUUAUAUAGGAAGAAAUAGUCCUUGCGAGGAAAGUUGACGGUACUAUAUGAAUAAGCACCGGCUAACUCCGUGCCAGCAGCCGCGGUAAUACGGAGGGUGCAAGCGUUGUCCGGAUUUAUGGGUUUAAAGGGUGCGUAGGCGGUUUAUAAGUCAGUGGUGAAAGACGGUCGCUCAACGAUUGCAGUGCCAUCGAUACUGGUAGACUUGAGUAUGAUUGAGGUAGCUGGAAUGGAUAGUGUAGCGGUGAAAUGCAUAGAUAUUAUCCAGAACACCAAUUGCGUAGGCAAGUUACUAAGUCAUAACUGACGCUGAGGCACGAAAGUGUGGGUAUCAAACAGGAUUAGAUACCCGAGUAGUCCCUGAGCGGGCUGGCAAGGCGCAU
This 464-nucleotide ribosomal RNA is filed under the name uncultured bacterium. RNAcentral's name for it is "bacterial SSU rRNA". It matches the Rfam family "Bacterial small subunit ribosomal RNA", at positions 355 to 825 of the family's 1533-position model. The record is from RNAcentral.